GGUUAAGCGACUAAGCGUACACGGUGGAUGCCCUGGCAGUCAGAGGCGAUGAAGGACGUGCUAAUCUGCGAAAAGCGUCGGUAAGGUGAUAUGAACCGUUACAGCCGGCGAUGUCCGAAUGGGGAAACCCAGUGCAAUUCGUUGCACUAUCGUUAACUGAAUACAUAGGUUAACGAGGCGAACCGGGGGAACUGAAACAUCUAAGUACCCCGAGGAAAAGAAAUCAACCGAGAUUCCCCCAGUAGCGGCGAGCGAACGGGGAGCAGCCCAGAGUCUGAAUCAGCUUGUGUGUUAGUGGAACGGUCUGGAAAGUCCGACGGUACAGGGUGAUAGUCCCGUACACCAAAAUGCACAGGCUGUGAACUCGAAGAGUAGGGCGGGACACGUGGUAUCCUGUCUGAAUAUGGGGGGACCAUCCUCCAAGGCUAAAUACUCCUGACUGACCGAUAGUGAACCAGUACCGUGAGGGAAAGGCGAAAAGAACCCCGGCGAGGGGAGUGAAAAAGAACCUGAAACCGUGUACGUACAAGCAGUGGGAGCACCUUCGGGUGUGACUGCGUACCUUUUGUAUAAUGGGUCAGCGACUUAUAUUCUGUAGCAAGGUUAACCGUAUAGGGGAGCCGCAGGGAAACCGAGUCUUAACUGGGCGUUAAGUUGCAGGGUAUAGACCCGAAACCCGGUGAUCUAGCCAUGGGCAGGUUGAAGGUUGGGUAACACUAACUGGAGGACCGAACCGACUAAUGUUGAAAAAUUAGCGGAUGACUUGUGGCUGGGGGUGAAAGGCCAAUCAAACCGGGAGAUAGCUGGUUCUCCCCGAAAGCUAUUUAGGUAGCGCCUCGUGAAUUCAUCUUCGGGGGUAGAGCACUGUUUCGGCUAGGGGGUCAUCCCGACUUACCAACCCGAUGCAAACUACGAAUACCGAAGAAUGUUAUCACGGGAGACACACGGCGGGUGCUAACGUCCGUCGUGAAGAGGGAAACAACCCAGACCGCCAGCUAAGGUCCCAAAGUCAUGGUUAAGUGGGAAACGAUGUGGGAAGGCACAGACAGCCAGGAUGUUGGCUUAGAAGCAGCCAUCAUUUAAAGAAAGCGUAAUAGCUCACUGGUCGAGUCGGCCUGCGCGGAAGAUGUAACGGGGCUAAACCAUGCACCGAAGCUGCGGCAGCGACACUAUGUGUUGUUGGGUAGGGGAGCGUUCUGUAAGCCUGCGAAGGUGACCUGUGAGGGUUGCUGGAGGUAUCAGAAGUGCGAAUGCUGACAUAAGUAACGAUAAAGCGGGUGAAAAGCCCGCUCGCCGGAAGACCAAGGGUUCCUGUCCAACGUUAAUCGGGGCAGGGUGAGUCGACCCCUAAGGCGAGGCCGAAAGGCGUAGUCGAUGGGAAACAGGUUAAUAUUCCUGUACUUGGUGUUACUGCGAAGGGGGGACGGAGAAGGCUAUGUUAGCCGGGCGACGGUUGUCCCGGUUUAAGCAUGUAGGCUGGUUGUCCAGGCAAAUCCGGAUAAUCAAGGCUGAGGUGUGAUGACGAGGCACUACGGUGCUGAAGUAACAAAUGCCCUGCUUCCAGGAAAAGCCUCUAAGCAUCAGGUAACAUUAAAUCGUACCCCAAACCGACACAGGUGGUCAGGUAGAGAAUACCAAGGCGCUUGAGAGAACUCGGGUGAAGGAACUAGGCAAAAUGGUGCCGUAACUUCGGGAGAAGGCACGCUGGUGUGUAGGUGAAGUCCCUGCGGAUGGAGCUGAGACCAGUCGAAGAUACCAGCUGGCUGCAACUGUUUAUUAAAAACACAGCACUGUGCAAACACGAAAGUGGACGUAUACGGUGUGACGCCUGCCCGGUGCCGGAAGGUUAAUUGAUGGGGUUAUCCGUAAGGAGAAGCUCUUGAUCGAAGCCCCGGUAAACGGCGGCCGUAACUAUAACGGUCCUAAGGUAGCGAAAUUCCUUGUCGGGUAAGUUCCGACCUGCACGAAUGGCGUAAUGAUGGCCAGGCUGUCUCCACCCGAGACUCAGUGAAAUUGAACUCGCUGUGAAGAUGCAGUGUACCCGCGGCAAGACGGAAAGACCCCGUGAACCUUUACUAUAGCUUGACACUGAACAUUGAGCCUUGAUGUGUAGGAUAGGUGGGAGGCUUUGAAGCGUGGACGCCAGUCUGCGUGGAGCCAACCUUGAAAUACCACCCUUUAAUGUUUGAUGUUCUAACGUUGGCCCCUUACCGGGGUUGCGGACAGUGUCUGGUGGGUAGUUUGACUGGGGCGGUCUCCUCCCAAAGCGUAACGGAGGAGCACGAAGGUUAGCUAAUCCUGGUCGGACAUCAGGAGGUUAGUGCAAUGGCAUAAGCUAGCUUGACUGCGAGCGUGACGGCGCGAGCAGGUGCGAAAGCAGGUCAUAGUGAUCCGGUGGUUCUGAAUGGAAGGGCCAUCGCUCAACGGAUAAAAGGUACUCCGGGGAUAACAGGCUGAUACCGCCCAAGAGUUCAUAUCGACGGCGGUGUUUGGCACCUCGAUGUCGGCUCAUCACAUCCUGGGGCUGAAGUAGGUCCCAAGGGUAUGGCUGUUCGCCAUUUAAAGUGGUACGCGAGCUGGGUUUAGAACGUCGUGAGACAGUUCGGUCCCUAUCUGCCGUGGGCGCUGGAGAAUUGAGGGGGGCUGCUCCUAGUACGAGAGGACCGGAGUGGACGCAUCACUGGUGUUCGGGUUGUCAUGCCAAUGGCACUGCCCGGUAGCUAAAUGCGGAAGAGAUAAGUGCUGAAAGCAUCUAAGCACGAAACUUGCCCCGAGAUGAGUUCUCCCUGAGACUUUAAGUCUCCUGAAGGAACGUU
RNAcentral lists this ribosomal RNA (2816 nucleotides) under Klebsiella pneumoniae. RNAcentral's name for it is "partial 23S ribosomal RNA". It matches the Rfam family "Bacterial large subunit ribosomal RNA". The record is from RNAcentral. Lineage: Bacteria; Pseudomonadati; Pseudomonadota; Gammaproteobacteria; Enterobacterales; Enterobacteriaceae.